GCCCUGGCCAGCACUGGGGUUAUUCCCAGCAGAUUUUCCAAGCUGUGAAUUCCAUUUCCCACUGGCAGCCCCCUGAGGGACAGCUGGCAUGGUCUGAAUGAACACAGCCCACCUUGAAGGGACCCAAAGGCCUUGCCUGACCUCAGUGGGAAACAUUCCCUGGGAUGGGCUGGUGCCCACGGGACCCAGGAGCUCUCUCUGUGACCCCCAGGACACACCAGGGCCUCCCUGGAGGGUCCCACAGGAGAACCUGACCCUGGCAGGGCAGCCCAGGGUACGGGCAGAAGGACAGGGGCGAUCCCUGAGCAGGAUAAUUCAGAAGAAGCCAGGAAUGAACAUUGGAAGGAGAGGAGAAGGUUGGGAAGGAGCAAGGGGAGCAUCCCGAACAAAUCCCCGCUGGCUCCGGCUGUUGUGUGGAAUUGGGCUGCAUCUGUCACAUCUGAUUACAUUGUUGUCCUUUUUUAUCUCCCUGAUCUAUGCUAUGAUUCUUCUGCUUUUAUGCGACAUUUCCUUGGCAGUAGAACUGCUUGGAUUAGCUAUUCCGAGUGUUUCCCUCCCCAUAAAACAUCCAAAUUGCAGAGGGUAUUUAUUUGCACAGUUAUGUUUUGCUUUGUCUUUUUGUUUAUUUUUAAUGUCGCUUUUUUAUGAUAUUUUUUGUGUGCUGGUGCUGCUUGUAAAGAGGAUCCAUGUGGGAAAUAUCAGUGAGUUAAAUUCAGAGCAAGGCUACCAAGUUUGUAUUUGGGCAAGGGCAGACUUGGGCUCUGGUGUUCCAGGAGCUGUGUCCUUCUCUUGGCCCGGUGUCAGCAAAUCCAGCAAAUCCAUGGGGACUUUUCAGAGAACCUGGAAUGGUUUGGCUUUGAGGUGACCUUAAAAAUCACCACGGGCAGGGACAACUUCCACUGGAGCAGGUGUCCAGCCUGGCCUUGGACACUUCCAGGGAUUGGGCAGCCACAGCUGCUCUGGGCACCUGUGCCAGGGCCUUUUUGGUCAAAACGUUCAGAGGAGGUGAAAAUCCCACCCAAAAUGAGCAAUGUCCACCCCUGACCUUGCUGCAAAGUCCCUGGGCUCUAUCAGGACUUGUAAAAUAUUGCUGGGAAUUGUGACACAAAUAGAGAGCAGGGGCUGGAGUUCUCCAGGCUGUGAUCUCUCCAGGGGCUGAUGUUCUCCAGGCUGUGAUCUCCUCAGGAGCUGAUGUUCUCCAGGCUGUGAUCUCCUCAGGAGCUGAUGUUCUCCAGGCUGUGAUCUCCUCAGGAGCUGAUGUUCUCCAGGCUGUGAUCUCCUCAGGGGCUGAUGUUCUCCAGGCUGUGAUCUCUAAAGGAGCUGAUGUUCUCCAGGCUGUGAUCUCCUCAGGAGCUGAUGUUCUCCAGGCUGUGAUCUCUCCAGGAGCUGAUGUUCUCCAGGCUGUGAUCUCCUCAGGAGCUGAUGUUCUCCAGGCUGUGAUCUCUAAAGGAGCUGAUGUUCUCCAGGCUGUGAUCUCCUCAGGAGCUGAUGUUCUCCAGGCUGUGAUCUCCUCAGGGGCUGAUGUUCUCCAGGCUGUGAUCUCCUCAGGGGCUGAUGUUCUCCAGGCUGUGAUCUCUCCAGGAGCUGAUGUUCUCCAGGCUGUGAAAUUUCCUGCCCCAGGACUGAACACCCCCAGGGCAGCUCAGGGCUGAGCAAGGCAAGGGAAAUUCAAACACUUCCCAUUGGAAAGUUCCUUUCCUGAGCCCUGCCUGGCCCUGGAACCGCUCUGGGCUGUUCAGUGCAUGAUGUGGGUGACACGCUGAAAUGAUAUUUUACAGACAGGAUUUUUUUCCACUUAACAAAUUCUUUGCCUUUGUGUGUUCCUAAACCAAGGCUGAAUCCACACAGGCUCCUCUUGUCCUUCU
This 1865-nucleotide long non-coding RNA is filed under the name Cyanistes caeruleus (blue tit). RNAcentral's name for it is "lncRNA (ENSCCEG00000011493.1)". The record is from RNAcentral. Lineage: Eukaryota; Metazoa; Chordata; Aves; Passeriformes; Paridae.